AUUGAACGCUGGCGGCAUGAUUUACACAUGCAAGUCGAACGGUAACAGGCCGCAAGGUGCUGACGAGUGGCGAACGGGUGAGUAAUGCAUCGGAACGUGCCCAGUCGUGGGGGAUAACUACUCGAAAGAGUAGCUAAUACCGCAUACGAUCUAUGGAUGAAAGCGGGGGACCGUAAGGCCUCGCUCGAUUGGAGCGGCCGAUGUCAGAUUAGGUAGUUGGUGGGGUAAAGGCUCACCAAGCCAACGAUCUGUAGCUGGUCUGAGAGGACGACCAGCCACACUGGGACUGAGACACGGCCCAGACUCCUACGGGAGGCAGCAGUGGGGAAUUUUGGACAAUGGGCGCAAGCCUGAUCCAGCAAUGCCGCGUGCAGGAAGAAGGCCUUCGGGUUGUAAACUGCUUUUGUACGGAACGAAACGGCUCUGGUUAAUACCCGGGGCUAAUGACGGUACCGUAAGAAUAAGCACCGGCUAACUACGUG
Molecule: ribosomal RNA, 482 nt
Filed under: uncultured bacterium
Lineage: Bacteria
Description: partial 16S ribosomal RNA
Rfam family: Bacterial small subunit ribosomal RNA
Source: RNAcentral